RNAcentral lists this ribosomal RNA (468 nucleotides) under uncultured bacterium. RNAcentral's name for it is "partial 16S ribosomal RNA". It matches the Rfam family "Bacterial small subunit ribosomal RNA", at positions 29 to 507 of the family's 1533-position model. The record is from RNAcentral.
UACGCACGCUGGCGGCGUGCUUAACACAUGCAAGUCGAACGGAAAGGCCCUGCUUUUGUGGGGUGCUCGAGUGGCGAACGGGUGAGUAACACGUGAGUAACCUGCCCUUGACUUUGGGAUAACUUCAGGAAACUGGGGCUAAUACCGGAUAGGAGCUCCUGCUGCAUGGUGGGGGUUGGAAAGUUUCGGCGGUUGGGGAUGGACUCGCGGCUUAUCAGCUUGUUGGUAGGGUAGUGGCUUACCAAGGCUUUGACGGGUAGCCGGCCUGAGAGGGUGACCGGCCACAUUUGGACUGAGAUACGGCCCAGACUCCUACGGGAGGCAGCAGUGGGGAAUAUUGCACAAUGGGCGGAAGCCUGAUGCAGCAACGCCGCGUGCGGGAUGACGGCCUUCGGUUUGUAAUCCGCUUUCGCCUGUGACGAAGCGUGAGUGACGGUAAUGGGUAAAGAAGCACCGGCUAACUACGUG